RNAcentral lists this ribosomal RNA (468 nucleotides) under uncultured bacterium. RNAcentral describes it as "partial 16S ribosomal RNA". It matches the Rfam family "Bacterial small subunit ribosomal RNA", at positions 28 to 507 of the family's 1533-position model. The record is from RNAcentral.
GACGAACGCUGGCGGCGUGCUUAACACAUGCAAGUCGAACGGAAAGGCCCUGCUUUUGUUGGGUGCUCGAGUGGCGAACGGGUGAGUAACACAUGAGUAACCUGCCCUUGAAUUUGGGAUAACUUCAGGAAAAUGGGGCUAAUACCCGAUAGAAGCUCCUGCUGCAUGGGGGUGGUUGGAAAGUUUCGGCGGUUGGGGAUGGACUCGCGGCUUAUCAGCUUGUUGGGGGGGUAGUGGCUUACCAAGGCUUUGACGGGUAGCCGGCCUGAGAGGGUGAACGGGCACAAUGGGACUGAGAUACGGACCAGACGGCUACGGGCGGCAGCAGGCGGGAAUAUUGCAGAAUGGGCGGAAGCGUGAUGCAGCAAUGUCGGGUGCGGGAUGAUGGGUUUCGGGGUGUAAACAGAUUUGGAAGGUGAUGAAGAGUGAGUGACGGUAAUGGGUAAAGAAGCAACGGCUAACUACGUG